Molecule: long non-coding RNA, 5965 nt
Filed under: Lactuca sativa (garden lettuce)
Lineage: Eukaryota; Viridiplantae; Streptophyta; Magnoliopsida; Asterales; Asteraceae
Description: long non-coding RNA (LSAT_LNC002108)
Source: RNAcentral
UUUGGAAACACCUAUAUAAACAUAUGGGUGUGCUUUGCAGAGUUGUCUCUAUAAGUGUGGAAACAUGUGAGUUUUGUGGAGUAGUCUCUACAAAUGUACUCUCCUCUUUGUUUUGGUAAGGUUUGUAUUCAACAUAGAGUAUUCAAGCAACAGUAAACAUGGAUUUCAUGGGAGAGACUUCUUCAAUUUCUUGUACCAUCAUUCGAAGCAUCUCUCUAAAUGUAAGCCAUCACACCACCACCAACACCAUUGCUUUGUUACCUUUAACCACCAAUCGCUCCACCAUAUACCAUGCCCUUCUCUAUUUUUCAUUCUCUGUCUCCCUAAGAAACCAUGGAAAAGAUCGUUUUAUAGAUCCUAUGUUUAAUCACCCGAUGUUCUAAAGUUUACUGUUUGCGUUUUUUCCUAGGCUUUGCUUUGUUUUUUCUGCCAUAUUUUCUACUCUUGUGUUUGCUAAUUCUCCUUCCCAUGUUUCCAUAAAAAAAUCACAUAUUUCUUCGGAGAUUUGAACAAUAUGUUCGAUAAUCGCUUUUGGGUAUCUCUCUAUUUUUUCACUUUAGUUUCUAAUUAGAAAUUAAUUUCUUUUCAAUUAGUUUAUUUGGAUUUUGAAAUUGGUUUGUUUGUUUAUUUUUGUAUUUUCUCUGUUGGAUUUUUCAUUGAUGGCCGAUAUAUCUAAUAGAACAUUUGAUAACCAUUAAACUUUAUCAUUUAUGGGUGAUACUUGAGAUGGAUAUGAAUGUGAUUUUUUUGUUCAUUCUUCUUCUACUUGCCUUAGAUUGAUGAUUACCGAGAUGAGUUUUUGAUAAAAUGAAUGAUCAGUUUUUUUUAGAAAAAACCCUAAAUUUUCAAAUGUGUUGAAAAUAUGCUUACAGUUUAAUUUAUUGCUCUUUUCUAUAGUCAUUUUGUUUAUUUCGCUACAACGGGUUUACUUGAAGUUUAAUUUCUCGACAAAAAUGGCAGUUUACACAGCCCAAUUGGAGUAAGUCUGUGUAUUAUUUUGGUGUAGGGUGUUGACCAUUUUUCAUCUUCUUUUAAAUGAAACCAUUUUCAUUUUCUGGAAAUUAUUUGACUAAAACAAUGAAUUCGAUGAAUGUUUAGACUUGUUUUUUUAUGUGAUUUUAUCUUUUGGGGUGUAUGUUGUGGAUGGCUUGAAUGCUGUGAAUAGUUUAGACCAAAAUUUGCUUUUUAAUUAAAUGGUUUUAUUUCAAUUUCGCCUAUUUUUUUGACAAGUUUAGAAUAUUAUUUGAUUGAUGCUAGGAGUUUCAUAUUUGAAUAUUAAUAUUUUGUUGCCAAUCACAUUUUUUCGUUUUUUUCCUGUAAUUAUUGGUAUUAAAAGUAGCUAACGAAUCUCGAAAGUGCAAAAAUUGAUGAGCAUUUGGUUAUUGAGCAAGUCUUAAUAUAUAUAUAUAUANNNNNNNNNNNNNNNNNNNNNNNNNNNNNNNNNNNNNNNNNNNNNNNNNNNNNNNNNNNNNNNNNNNNNNNNNNNNNNNNNNNNNNNNNNNNNNNNNNNNNNNNNNNNNNNNNNNNNNNNNNNNNNNNNNNNNNNNNNNNNNNNNNNNNNNNNNNNNNNNNNNNNNNNNNNNNNNNNNNNNNNNNNNNNNNUGACAAUUAGCUAACUUGUGAUAACACAUGCCAAUGUUGUUUUAUAAUAUAAUUGAAGAUGUUGUUUUAGCUAACUCAUGAUAAAGCUGUCAAAGUUGUUUUAUAAUAUAAUUGAAGAUGGUCGGUGGAACAAUCUCUAUAAUACUUAAUGUGGUUUAAGGUUUCACCUAUAAUCUCUUUGUAAUUGCAACAUUUCCAUUUUAGGUAAAAGAUUCUUAUUGAUGCUACUAUUGAAGGGUGUUUUAGAAUCUUAAUUAACAUUAGUCACAAGCGUUUGAGUAAAAGUGAUUAUGAUUAAAAUUGAAACCAUAAUGUUGUAAUAGAAAUAAAUGAAAGUAGAUGCUACAAUAAACAAAUAAUUAAAAGUACGUCAUUAUUUUUUUUAUCUCUUUAAAAUAUUACACCUAAAAUAAGAUAAUUUAUGAUUCCUUGACUUGUUGUAACACUCCACUCUUCAAAGUAUAUUAAAUAACAAAAUAUUUAUUCUAACAUCUUCCAACAUCAAAAUUCUAUCUAUUAUAAGUAAAAAAGAAAGUACAUUGUUAUUAUUGGAAAAGCAAUGUAUGUUUAUUGCCAUGAUGGGUAAGAAGUCAUGUACACUGCCCAUAUUGUUAACAAGAGUAAAAUACAAUAACAAUUAUGCUCUUCACGAUUGGAUCAAGGAGCAAUGGUAAAUAAUUUUUAUAUUAGGUCGAUUGAUGGUGUUGCCAAUAAGAACUUUUUUGGUUGUUAUGUGUAAUGGUUACAAAACUUCUUAGGGUAAAUUAUAGAAAAUAACAACAUACUUUACCUUUUUUUAACCAAUAUAGGUUUUUUUAGAACGGAGAUUUAGUAUAUGCUUGUGAUUGAACCAAAGACCUCCUUGUUAGACACCUUGGUUAACCCUAACUUGUACCAAUAUAGGUAAUGCAUUUUAUCUUUUAGCCAUCAUAUCAAUGUACUUCUAGUUUUAACCGAUGAUAGUAAUAUACUUACAUUUACGUAGCUUAUAAUGUUAACAUACUUAAUUUUUCCUUACACACAUUAGCAACACACUCAUAAUUCGCUACUCAUAGUAGGGACGUAUUUUUAGUAUUUUAUCGUACUAGCUACAUUGCUAUUAUACGUAAAGUAUAAAGUAACUUACUGAUAAAAGUAAGGAAAUUAUGAAAAAAAAAAUAAAGUACACUGCAUAAUGGUUGCGAGAAUAGUAUACAUUGUUAUUUCUCGAAAUUCGUCCAACUUACUAUAUAAUGUCUCAUCUAAUUGUAAUUAUAAGAUUAUAAUGUUUUUUGCAUUUAUUUAUUGAUUUAUUAUUUCAGGUAUGUCUACAUACCAAAGUUGUAUAAAGUCAGUGAGUUGUUUCCAGUCAAAUUAAUUAGCAAAAACUGAAAAGGAUUUCAUGUUACUUCUAUGACAACAACUGGCAAUCCAUGAAAGUGAAUAUAGAACUACAAUAAUAUAUCACUCAUGAAAAAAUCCAAGUGAUGGGUUUGCUUUUGAAGUUUUUAGAUUAUUUAAAUCAAUGGUUUCAGAUCACAAUGAGUCUUGCCUACCUAACGAAUAUAUAUCUGGAUUGGUGCUUUCUUCUCGUUUAAACAUUGGGUACCUUUUAUUAGGAAGACAAUUUCAUGAUUACCUAUUGAAAUUUGGAUUAGUGUUCAAUCAGUACAUGAAAGCUGCACUUGUAUGCUUGUAUUCCAUGUUGUCGGACGUGGUAGGGGGUAUGGAGCUUUUACAUUGUAAACUAUAACAUGUUGUCGAACGUGGUAGGGGGUAUGGAGGUUUUACUUUGAUUUAUGCUUAUUGAGUAGAAGGGAUGAUGAAAGAAGCAGUUUAGCCUUCAAUAAAAUAAGGAUGGAGGGAUUCAAGCCAAAUGAGAAAACAUGGCUAGGGAUUCUAUCUGCUUGUGAUCAAUCAGGGCUGGACAAGGAGGAAAAAGUUAUUUUCUUAACAAUGGUGCAUAAGUUUGGGAUAAGAGUCGAUCUUAAAUGAUCGAUGUGAUUUCCAAUGCUACGUCCAAAGAUAUUAUGCAAAAAAUGUUUCUCGACUUUUUACGAUCAAGGUCUCUAAAAGUUAAUGAACAUACAUUAACACUAAUUCUCUCUUUAGUGGAGGAUCAUAAUUUGUGUUCCAUGAUACACUUGUAUGCUAUGAAGAACUAUUUGUAUGGUGUAAGGGUAAAUGUUUUCAUUAUAUCAGACUAUGUUAGGUGUGCUUGGAUCAUAAUGGCUAUUAAAGUGUUUGGUGAUAUGGAUAGGGCUAUGUUAAAUGUGUAUUCCGAUAAUAGAUUGAUUUAUGCUUAUGGAGUAUAAAGCAUGAUGAAAGAAGCGGUUUAGCCUUCAAUAAAAUAAGGAUGGAGGGAUUCAAGCCAAAUGAGAAAACAUGGCUAGGGAUUCUAUUUUCUUGUAAUCAAUCAGGGCUGGAAAAGGAGGCAAAAGUUAUUUUCUUAACAAUGGUGCAUAACUUUGGGAUAAGAGUCGAUCUUAAACACUUUAAUGGAAUGAUCAAUGUGAUUUCCAAAAUAGGUUCUUUGGAAGAAGCAUAUUAACUGAUCAUAAUGAUCCUAGUUUUUUGGCAAAAAAUUGUACAAAGUUUGAUGAUGCUAAGCUUUGCCUUGAAGCUUUAAAGAGGAUUUCAAAACUAAAUAGAGCUCAUAUGAAGAUGUGGGCAAUUUUGAUGAGGUUGGUAAAAUUUCAGAAAAAAGCGCAGAUUCAGAAGCAGAUCAUAUUGGAGUGUCUUUUGUGGGAAAAUAAAUUUAGAAGAAACAAAACGUCUUUGAUUGUUUGUGUAUUUUGACCUUUAGUGCAUUCUCAAAUGUUAUCUUCAAGUAGGAUGUUACUUUGAUUCUUUGUGUAUUUUGGCCUUUUAGGCAUUCUCCAAGGUUAUAUUAAAAUAGAAUGCUAUUAAUACAUAAAUUGUUUGUGAUUUUAUAUCACUAAUAUUAUGUAAGUGUAAUGGGGUUAAUUUUUUGAUCAAUGUCACUUUGACAACUAUUGAACAAAUCGGUAUGGUGCAAAGUGCACAUUUGUUAAAUUUUGUCUUUGUGGAAAGUAUAUUGCUAUUUAGGGGUGAAGCCCCUGAAAUAACGGGGGUUCGGGGGCAGCGCCCCUGGGAGCGGGGUCCAAGGUACGAAAGCCUUGGCUGGGGUCGACCUUUUUUGGUAGAUGCAUCAGAAAUCCAGAUUUUUGGUAAAUGCACUCGGUUUUGUGACCCAUAUUCUAGACCCAGAUUUAAGUUGGUUUAUGACCGUUUUUGGACAGUUUUAGGUCAUAAAACUCUCAUGUGGCAAAUUUAAGACAUGAAGUUUUUCUUGUUAUAUGAUCAUUUUCGAAAUCAGUUUUGGGACUCUUCUUCUUCUUCUUCUUCAUAACAUCUUGAACAUUCUCUCUUCUGUUUCUAUUUUUUUCUGAGUCUUAUCCGAUUAAAGAUUGGGAGUACCACCCAAAUACUUUAAUUUGAAAGUGUUAUACAUGAUUUUCAGAAUUUCCAAGUGUUUCUACCCCUAUUUUAUAACAUAAAUAAAUGAAACGGUAUUGCUAUCUCUUGCAUUUAGCCUUCUAACCAUUGUUUUAUGAAAGAUCAGUGUGUAAAUAAAUCAUUAUUGGAUUUCGGAGUGUUAAAUACAUCUGUUUAGUUAGUGUUUUUUGUUUUUUGUUUUUUUUUUUGCAUAUUUUGGAAGAAUGGUGAUUUGUUCACAACAAAAGCCAAGUAUGAUAGUUUUGUUUUUCAUUAUUGAAGGAAAUAUAAGACAUUUUCAACAGCCUGCAUAUAGUAGUCUAUUGCAGUUUGAAAAUUCAAGACAUUUGCUACAUCCCGUUUCUUCUUGGAGUUCAACAUUUCUACAUCUAGUUUGUCCACAUAUAGAAAGAGAGCUGCAAGACAUUUUCAACAAAAAAAAAUCAUGAAUGACAUGAAAGUUGACUUUGAAAAGAAAAGGUCAAACCAAAAGAGCAAAACCUCGGUUGUUACUCCCUCAUCAUCUUUGUAGGCUAAAUUUUCCAAGUUUUUAUGUAUGGCUGUCAAAUCCAUUCUCAAGCAGGUUUCACCGAGCGGGGUAGAGGCAGAGCAGCAGCACCACCGCCUUGUGUUAUGCCCAUGAAUACAUGAUAAGGUUUUUGUGAAGUGAUAUUUAACAUAAUAAGUGGUGUAUAGAUAAAGUGUUGUCUGGAUAAAAUAAAUAUAAAUGAUGUUUAAAAGAUACCUAUCUUUCCUUUUGGUGACAUUUCAGACUAUUAACCGCAUUUUCACUCAGGUUUAUUUAUGUAUUUCACCUUUUAUUAUUUUUCAUUUUGUGAUUUAUUCUGAUAAUACAAUUGGAUACACGUACUUAAUGUAGGUAUGAUUGGCUGGCGAAAAAGCACAUUCCAUCUGGAUAUUUUUU